Long non-coding RNA from Eucalyptus grandis, 285 nucleotides. RefSeq lists it as uncharacterized. The record is from RefSeq and is a predicted model, not a curated record. NCBI's taxonomy places the organism in Eukaryota, Viridiplantae, Streptophyta, Magnoliopsida, Myrtales, Myrtaceae. The transcript has 3 exons.
CUUUCAUUGGGUUGCCGCUAGCCCAAGCCGUCUUGCAGAAUCUCAGCUGGUCAAUCAACCAAUGGAGCGAACUCUAUCAGGAUCUACCUAGCAGAUAGCUCAAGGUCAAAAUUAUGGAUAGAACCGCGGUUGUCACAGCAAAUGCAGAAACAGUAGCCGUGAAGCCCCCUGGCAUUCAAGAAGCCAUCAAUGCUGAAACUGUUAAAUACCCUCGUGGCCGAUCUUUCAUACGCCCGUCAGGGACCGAGGAUGUCAUCCGGGUUUAUGCGGAGGCCUCAAUUCAGG